UCUAAUAUGGCAGAUUAGUGCAAUGAAUUUAAGAUUCAUAUAUAAAGAUUUUAAUCUUUUAUUAGAA
This 67-nucleotide transfer RNA is filed under the name Macroscytus japonensis. RNAcentral describes it as "tRNA-Leu". It matches the Rfam family "tRNA". Rfam says of the family: Transfer RNA (tRNA) molecules are approximately 80 nucleotides in length. Their secondary structure includes four short double-helical elements and three loops (D, anti-codon, and T loops). The record is from RNAcentral. Lineage: Eukaryota; Metazoa; Arthropoda; Insecta; Hemiptera; Cydnidae.